AAAUCAAGGAUAUUAUUAGUGAAAUAGAAAUCAAGGAUAUUAUUAGUGAAAUUCUGAUUUUUAAAAAAAUAUAUAUUUCUAAUAGACAACAAAACUUUUUCUUUUUUUAUUGAUACAAUUUAUAUUUUUACUUUUGUCAUGUUGCUUAGGUAGUUGAGUUUAAUUACAUAAUGUAAUACUUUGCUUUGAUCAAUAUGAUGCUAUGAAUAUGAUCAAGUGGUAAAGUUUCAACUUCAAGUGAAGGUGAUUGCAUAACAUGAACAUGAACAUGAAUCUCUAGGUUUUGAUAUCUUAUUCUAAAACACAAAGCUAUAUUUGAAAGCGAAUGUCGGAGAAAAACUACAUGAAUUCAGUGGUUAUGAACACAUCUUCUAGGUGUAAGAUUGAGAUAGAAAACUAAGGUGUUUAUUUGAAAAAUUCUAUGAUAAUGAUGAACAAUCAGUUAGGAAUGAGGGUAUUGUUUACAUCUUGGAUCAUCCAGAAGAUAAUCAUAGAUCACAGUCUCAACAAGUUUAUGGCUUACCUGAAGUAUCACCAAAUGAAGAUGAGAGUUUUGACUGAAUUUGUAGAGUCAAAUGGUACCAUUGAGAAACACGGUCAUGGUAGAAUAGCAGUGGAUGAAAUACACAAAAUUGUUGUGGCAGACAUCCGAUUUGCUAACAUAAAUAGGAAUACAACUAAUCUUUUGCUACAAGAAAGUAACAACGGGUCUGUUCACCUACUGCCAAGAUAUUAUGAACGGUUCUUCUUCAAUCAUCCUAAACGACAACAAAAAAUAUUUGAUUGAUUCAAAUUCUAUUUUCCUUUUGUCGUAUUGCUUAACUAGGGGAGUUUAAUUCAAUAACAAAAUAUUUUGCAUUGAUUACAUUAAUCAUGAAAUUAUCCAAAUUUGAAAGAUUCGUAACUUUGUAAAUAGAGAUUUUAUAUUUAGUUGUUUAUAGAUCAAUAAUAAAUAAUUAAGCAAUAUAAUAAUUGAUGGUUUGGAUUAUCAUUGUUGU
RNAcentral lists this small RNA (998 nucleotides) under Arabidopsis thaliana (thale cress). Its description in RNAcentral is "ATSL019530". Lineage: Eukaryota; Viridiplantae; Streptophyta; Magnoliopsida; Brassicales; Brassicaceae. The record is from RNAcentral.